Molecule: ribosomal RNA, 390 nt
Filed under: Thoropa taophora
Lineage: Eukaryota; Metazoa; Chordata; Amphibia; Anura; Cycloramphidae
Description: partial 16S ribosomal RNA
Rfam family: Bacterial large subunit ribosomal RNA
Source: RNAcentral
ACUUGUUCUUUAAAUGAGGACUAGUAUGAAAGGCAUCACGAGGGUUAUACUGUCUCCUUUUUCUAAUUAGUGAAACUAAUCUCCCCGUGAAGAAGCGGGGAUUAUACUAUAAGACGAGAAGACCCUAUGGAGCUUUAAAUAAUGUAACAAUUGCUACUUUAUCUUUACUUACCUUAUAACAUCUAGCAACAUGAUUACUAAUUUUUGGUUGGGGUGACCGCGGAGCACAAAAUAACCUCCACAUUGAAAGGAAGAUACUCCUAAGCUAAAAGCAACAAACUUUAAGCAUCAAUAAAUUGACAUUAAUUGACCCAAUAUAUUUGAUCAACGAACCAAGUUACCCUAGGGAUAACAGCGCAAUCUACUUUAAGAGCCCAUAUCGACAAGUAG